UACAGAGGUCUCGAGCGUUAGGCGGAAUCACUGGGCUUAAAGCGUGUGUAGGUGGAUCGUUAAGUACCUUGUGAAAUCCCACGGCUUAACCGUGGAACUGCUUGGUAUACUGGCGGUCUUGAGUCAGCUAGGGGCUACCGGAACAAAUGGUGGAGCGGUGAAAUGCGUAGAUAUCGUUUGGAACGCCAAAGGUGAAAACAGGUCGCUGGGGAUGAGCUGACGCUG
Molecule: ribosomal RNA, 225 nt
Filed under: uncultured bacterium
Lineage: Bacteria
Description: partial 16S ribosomal RNA
Rfam family: Bacterial small subunit ribosomal RNA
Source: RNAcentral